GAAUUCACUAGUGAUUCAGGCCUAACACAUGCAAGUCGAACGGUAACAGGAAACAGCUUGCUGUUUCGCUGACGAGUGGCGGACGGGUGAGUAAUGUCUGGGAAACUGCCUGAUGGAGGGGGAUAACUACUGGAAACGGUAGCUAAUACCGCAUAACGUCGCAAGACCAAAGAGGGGGACCUUCGGGCCUCUUGCCAUCGGAUGUGCCCAGAUGGGAUUAGCUAGUAGGUGGGGUAACGGCUCACCUAGGCGACGAUCCCUAGCUGGUCUGAGAGGAUGACCAGCCACACUGGAACUGAGACACGGUCCAGACUCCUACGGGAGGCAGCAGUGGGGAAUAUUGCACAAUGGGCGCAAGCCUGAUGCAGCCAAGGGGCGUGUAUGAAGAAGGCCUUCGGGUGUAAAGUAUAUGAGCGGGGAGGAAGGGAGUAAAGUUAAUACCUUGUCA
RNAcentral lists this ribosomal RNA (448 nucleotides) under uncultured bacterium. Its description in RNAcentral is "bacterial SSU rRNA". It matches the Rfam family "Bacterial small subunit ribosomal RNA", at positions 39 to 474 of the family's 1533-position model. The record is from RNAcentral.